UAGGGAAUCUUCUGCAAUGGACGAAAGUCUGACCGAGCAACGCCGCGUGAGUGAAGAAGGUUUUCGGAUCGUAAAACUCUGUUGUUAGAGAAGAACAAGGACGUUAGUAACUGAACGUCCCCUGACGGUAUCUAACCAGAAAGCCACGGCUAACUACGUGCCAGCAGCCGCGGUAAUACGUAGGUGGCAAGCGUUGUCCGGAUUUAUUGGGCGUAAAGCGAGCGCAGGCGGUUUCUUAAGUCUGAUGUGAAAGCCCCCGGCUCAACCGGGGAGGGUCAUUGGAAACUGGGAGACUAGAGUGCAGAAGAGGAGAGUGGAAUUCCAUGUGUAGCGGUGAAAUGCGUAGAUAUAUGGAGGAACACCAGGGGCGAAGGCGGCUCUCUGGUCUGUAACUGACGCUGAGGCUCGAAAGCGUGGGGAGCAAACAGG
This 429-nucleotide ribosomal RNA is filed under the name Gemmatimonadota bacterium. Its description in RNAcentral is "Gemmatimonadetes bacterium partial 16S ribosomal RNA". It matches the Rfam family "Bacterial small subunit ribosomal RNA", at positions 355 to 776 of the family's 1533-position model. The record is from RNAcentral. Lineage: Bacteria; Pseudomonadati; Gemmatimonadota.